RNAcentral lists this ribosomal RNA (497 nucleotides) under uncultured bacterium. RNAcentral describes it as "partial 16S ribosomal RNA". It matches the Rfam family "Bacterial small subunit ribosomal RNA", at positions 28 to 507 of the family's 1533-position model. The record is from RNAcentral.
GAUGAACGCUGGCGGCGUGCCUAAUACAUGCAAGUCGAGCGAACAGACGAGGAGCUUGCUCCUUUGACGUUAGCGGGGGACGGGUGAGUAACAAGUGGAUAACCUACCUCUAAGACGGGGAUAACAUCGGGAAACCGGAUCCAAUACCGGAGAAUACAUUCAACCGCAGGGUGCAAUAGUGAAAGACAGUUUUCCUGUCACAUAUAGAUGGAUCCGCGUCGCAUUAGCUAGUUGGUAAGGUAACGGCUAACCACGGCAACGUUGCGUAGCCGACCUGAGGGGCUGAUCGGCCACACUGGAACUGAGACACGGUCCAGACUCCUACGGGAGGCAGCAGUGGGGAAUCUUCCGCAAUGGGCGAAAGCUUGACGGAGCCACGCCGCGUGAGUGAUGAAGGUCUUCGGAUCGUAAAGCUCUGUUAUUAGGGAAGAAAAAAUGUGUAAGUAACUAUGGACGUCUUGACGGUACCUAAUCAGAAAGCAACGGCUAACUUCGUG